AGCCAUUAGACGAUAUUUAUGGUUUAACCUGCCCAAUGUUAGCAAUAAUGAAUGGCCGCGGUACCCUGACCGUGCUAAGGUAGCGUAAUCAGUUGGCUUUUAAAUGGAGUCAGGAAUGAAUGGGAAAACCGGGUUUAGCUGUCUCCUUACUAUUUUUUUGAAUUUACUGUUUAAGUGAAAAAGCUUAAAAUUGACAAAGGGACGAGAAGACCCUUAGAAUUUUUUUUAAAAUGACAAAUUCUCAUAAUAAUUUUGUUGGGGCGACAGAGAAAUAUUUAAAACUUUCUUUAAAUUUACAUGCCGAUAUUGUUAAGCAAGAAUAAAUUACCUGAGGGAUAACAGCAUUAUUCUACAGUUGAGUUUGUGACCUCGAUGUUGGACUAGGAAACUAACAGGCUAGCCGUUUGUUGUGUGGGUUCUGUUCGAACUCUAAUUCCU
This 438-nucleotide ribosomal RNA is filed under the name Borealea sanamyanae. RNAcentral's name for it is "Coryphella sanamyanae partial large subunit ribosomal RNA". It matches the Rfam family "Bacterial large subunit ribosomal RNA", at positions 1829 to 2597 of the family's 2925-position model. The record is from RNAcentral. Lineage: Eukaryota; Metazoa; Mollusca; Gastropoda; Nudibranchia; Coryphellidae.